Long non-coding RNA from Daphnia pulex (common water flea), 858 nucleotides. RefSeq lists it as uncharacterized. The record is from RefSeq and is a predicted model, not a curated record. NCBI's taxonomy places the organism in Eukaryota, Metazoa, Arthropoda, Branchiopoda, Diplostraca, Daphniidae. The transcript has 3 exons.
UUACUUCUGUGUGUGUUUUUUCCAUGUUUUUUUCCUGACAUAUUUCGUGGGUGUUAAAACUGUAAUCAAUUUUUCCAAAAUAUCUCUUGCUCGUUUCGUCACAUUCGGAACACUUUCAGAACAAUUAAAGUAAUUAUAGUUUCAGAUCGCUACCGAUUUAGUUAAUUUAAUUACUUGAGAGUAGACCCCUUUGCUUCUCUGUUGCAAUUGUGAGUUAAAACCAUUAUGGAAAUGUGGUUUGCAUUUGUUAUUUUUAAGUUGGAAAACUUGACAACUACAUAUUCCUUUGUAAGAUUUAUCAAGCCAGGUGAAGUCUGCGCUUCUUUGUUGCAGUCUAAUGUGCACAUGGAUUGGUUUCAGUCAAACAGUAAAAGGUGUGAUUAAACUGAGCUGUUGCAUGCAGUCUUUGGUGCCGAUGUUGUCCUGGAGUGUGGGGGAGUUCCAUGCUUCAAGUCUUAUGGGAUCAGCCAUAUCUGGUUGACGCUGGAUCAUGCUGCAUUUUGGUUGCCGAAAUGUUGGACAUCUAUUAGAACUGCAAGAAGACUUCUUGAAAUGGUUUAUGUUUACGUAGCAGUGAUGUUGCUGUCCAAUAUGGCGUGCUGUUCCAGCCUAUACUGGUGAAAGAUCUUUGCAUCGAGUUAAACUGUUGCUGUUCCUUGAUGCCGGACUGCUGGUGUUGUGCAGAAAAGUUCCAUCCAGUUUUAAUUGUUAUUUGUGUCUAUACAGUUAACUGUUUAUAUGUUGAAAAGGAACAGAAACAGUUACUUGGUGUUGAAUCGCUAGUGUUGUGCUACAGAAGUUACAUCCAGUAUUUUGUUUACUUGCUAUUUGCUCUAUGAAGUUAACCGUUUAUAUGCU